GCGUGAGUGAUGAAGGUUUCGGAUCGUAAAACUCUGUUGUUAGGGAAGAACAAGUGCCAUAGUAACUGAUGGCACCUUGACGGUACCUAACCAGAAAGCCACGGCUAACUACGUGCCAGCAGCCGCGGUAAUACGUAGGUGGCAAGCGUUGUCCGGAAUUAUUGGGCGUAAGGCGCUCGCAGGCGGUUCUUUAAGUCUGAUGUGAAAUCUUACGGCUCAACCGUAAACGUGCAUUGGAAACUGGGGAACUUGAGUGCAGAAGAGGAGAGUGGAAUUCCACGUGUAGCGGUGAAAUGCGUAGAGAUGUGGAGGAACACCAGUGGCGAAGGCGACUCUCUGGUCUGUAACUGACGCUGAGGAGCGAAAGCGUGGGGAGCGAACAGGAUUAGAUACCCUGGUAGUCCACGCCGUAAACGAUGAGUGCUAGGUGUCAGGGGGUUUCCGCCCCUUAGUGCUGAAGUUAACGCAUUAAGCACUCCGCCUGAGGAGUACGGACGCAAGGCUGAAACUCAACAGAAUUGACGGGGGACCGAACAAGCGGUGGAGCAUGUGGUUCAAUCCGAACGCAACGCGAAGAACCUUACCAGGUCUUGACUU
Molecule: ribosomal RNA, 597 nt
Filed under: uncultured bacterium
Lineage: Bacteria
Description: bacterial SSU rRNA
Rfam family: Bacterial small subunit ribosomal RNA
Source: RNAcentral